RNAcentral lists this non-coding RNA (74 nucleotides) under Actinokineospora spheciospongiae. The record is from RNAcentral. Lineage: Bacteria; Bacillati; Actinomycetota; Actinomycetes; Pseudonocardiales; Pseudonocardiaceae.
GGGAAUCCGGUGGGAAUCCGGAGCGGUCGCGCCACUGUGACCGGUCGUCCUCACCGACGACCGGCAGCCAGACC